GACGAACGCUGGCGGCGUGCCUAACACAUGCAAGUUGAGCGACGAACCAGGGCUUGCCCUGGGGCAAAGCAGCGAACGGGUGAGUAACACGUGGGUAACCUGCCCCGAUGACCGGGACCGAACCCGAACGGAAACUACGAGCUAAUACCGGAGUGUGGCCACUGGACUCAAGUCCGGUUGUCAAAGGAAGCUUCGGCCUCCGCAUUGGGAGGGGCCCGGUGGCCCAUUAGCUAGUUGGUGAGGUAAGAGC
This 250-nucleotide ribosomal RNA is filed under the name uncultured bacterium. RNAcentral describes it as "partial 16S ribosomal RNA". It matches the Rfam family "Bacterial small subunit ribosomal RNA", at positions 28 to 264 of the family's 1533-position model. The record is from RNAcentral.